GAUAACGUCUGGGUAAUCGCUGCAAUGCAAAUUGUAGAGGAAAGUCCAUGCUCGCACAGGCUGAGAUGCCUGUAGUGUUCGUGCCUAGCCCAAUAAGCUAGGGCAGCCUGUUUCAGGCUGACGGCCGGGAAAGCACCUAAGUCUUUGUGAUAUGGUGCCGGUACCUAUAAAAGUGCCACAGUGACGGAGCCUUUCUGGAAACAGGAAGGGUGGAACGAGGUAAACCCCGCGAGCGAGAAACCCAAAUUUGGUAGGGGCGCCUUUCCUAAGGAAAUGAACGAUGGGAAAGGGCAGAUUAUAUCUGAAGAUAGAUGAUUGCCGCCGGAGUACGAGAUUCUUCCAAUCGAUUGCAGUACGAAGGAACAGAACAUGGCUUACAGGACGUUAUCUAGG
This 393-nucleotide RNase P RNA is filed under the name Bacillus sp. FJAT-27916. RNAcentral describes it as "bacterial RNase P". It matches the Rfam family "Bacterial RNase P class B". From Rfam's summary of the family: Ribonuclease P (RNase P) is a ubiquitous endoribonuclease, found in archaea, bacteria and eukarya as well as chloroplasts and mitochondria. The record is from RNAcentral. Lineage: Bacteria; Bacillati; Bacillota; Bacilli; Caryophanales; Bacillaceae.